RNAcentral lists this ribosomal RNA (239 nucleotides) under uncultured bacterium. Its description in RNAcentral is "partial 16S ribosomal RNA". It matches the Rfam family "Bacterial small subunit ribosomal RNA", at positions 15 to 248 of the family's 1533-position model. The record is from RNAcentral.
GAUCUGCUCAGGAUGAACGCUAGCUACAGGCUUAACACAUGCAAGUCGAGGGGCAGCAUGAACUUAGCUUGCUAAGUUUGAUGGCGACCGGCGCACGGGUGAGUAACACGUAUCCAACCUGCCGAUGACUCGGGGAUAGCCUUUCGAAAGAAAGAUUAAUACCCGAUGGCAUAGUUCUUCCGCAUGGUAGAACUAUUAAAGAAUUUCGGUCAUCGAUGGGGAUGCGUUCCAUUAGGUUG